CAACCCUCAAGCCUGGCUUGGUGUUGGGGCGCUGCUUCUCACAGAAGCAGGCCCUGAAAUUCAGUGGCGAGCUCGCCAGGACUCCGAGCGUAGUAGUUAUAUCUCGUUCUGGAAGGCCUGGCGGUGCCCUGCCGUUAAACCCCAACUUCUGAAA
RNAcentral lists this unclassified non-coding RNA (154 nucleotides) under uncultured Phomopsis. Its description in RNAcentral is "sequence contains ITS2". Lineage: Eukaryota; Fungi; Ascomycota; Sordariomycetes; Diaporthales; Cytosporaceae. The record is from RNAcentral.